This 392-nucleotide ribosomal RNA is filed under the name uncultured bacterium. RNAcentral describes it as "partial 16S ribosomal RNA". It matches the Rfam family "Bacterial small subunit ribosomal RNA", at positions 523 to 918 of the family's 1533-position model. The record is from RNAcentral.
AUACGGAGGAUCCGAGCGUUAUCCGGAUUUAUUGGGUUUAAAGGGUGCGCAGGCGGCCAUUUAAGUCAGCGGUUAAAUCGUGGGGCUCAACCCCAUUCUGCCGUUGAUACUGGGUGGCUUGAUUGCGGUCGAGGUUGGCGGAAUUCGUUGUGUAGCGGUGAAAUGCAUAGAUAUGACGAAGAACACCGAUUGCGUAGGCAGCUGACCAGACCGCAAAUGACGCUCAUGCACGAAAGUGCGGGGAUCGAACAGGAUUAGAUACCCUGGUAGUCCGCACAGUAAACGAUGAAUACUUGUUUUCGGCGAUAUAAUGUCGGAGGCAAAGCGAAAGCGAUAAGUAUUCCACCUGGAGAGUACGCCGGCAACGGUGAAACUCAAAUGAAUUGGCGGGG